This 238-nucleotide unclassified non-coding RNA is filed under the name Helotiales sp. RNAcentral describes it as "partial contains 5.8S ribosomal RNA, internal transcribed spacer 2, and large subunit ribosomal RNA". Lineage: Eukaryota; Fungi; Ascomycota; Leotiomycetes; Helotiales. The record is from RNAcentral.
CGCACAUUGCGCCCUUUGGUAUUCCGAGGGGCAUGCCUGUUCGAGCGUCAUUACAACUCUCAAGCAUAGCUUGGUCUUGAGUCUCGCUUCGAGAGAAGUGUACUUAAAAAGCAGUGGAUGUUGUACGUGACUUGGAGUGUAGUAAAUUUUCUCCCGCUCUGAAGCUCACGCUGCAACUCCCAAAACUUCCUAUCGAAAAAUUGACCUCGAAUCAGGUAGGGAUACCCGCUGAACUUAA